RNAcentral lists this long non-coding RNA (314 nucleotides) under Bos taurus (domestic cattle). Its description in RNAcentral is "long non-coding RNA NONBTAT020410". Lineage: Eukaryota; Metazoa; Chordata; Mammalia; Artiodactyla; Bovidae. The record is from RNAcentral.
GCUUCCACAUGAUGAUGAGAUUUUUCUGUAACAGCACAGUGUCAUCAAUAUCAAUUAAACAGCAUAAAUGAGAGCACUUGUUUGUAGGCAGAACAGUUCACAUUCCACUUCAGCACCAAGAGCCAACUGCCUGUGAUGAAAUGAGAUGAGCAGCUCAUACAUCAUGUUUCAGCUAAGUCACAGGCACUCUUCCACUAUCCAUGAAAUACAACAGACGGAUAAGAAAGGUUAAAAAAUAAUUUACCAAACUCCUCUCAAAUCAAAACAUAGGAAGCUACUGCAUACUUUGACACUUGAGAGAAAUUACAUCUUUG